AUGGCGGCGGCUACGACGAGGGUUCUCGGAUCCAAAUCGCCCGACUGCUUCCAGCUCCGGGACCCUAAUUCCUGGGUUUGCUUGACCGAGCUUGCGAGCGAUGUGGUCGUCGAGGUCGGGGACAUCUCCUUUCAUCUCCACAAGUUCCCCUUAAUCAGCCGGAGCACCACGCUGCAGAAGCUCAUCGCCGAGUCCACCACCUCUUCCGACGACCAAGACGGCGGCAAGCCUUGCACCGUGCAGCUCGACGACCUCCCGGGCGGCGCGGCGACCUUCAGGCUCGCCGCCAAGUUCUGCUACGAUAUCCAAUUCGAGCUCAACGCGGCCAACGUCGUCCCCGUGCGCUGCGCGGCCCAGCGCCUGGGCAUGGCCGGCGAGGGCAACCUCGCCGCCCACGCCGAGGCCUUCUUCGUCCGCGACGUGCUAGGCAGCUGGGACGCGGCCGUGCGCGCGCUGCAGGCGUGCGACGACGGCGAUGACGUCGUGCGGCAGCUCGCCGAGGACCUCCUCCUCGCGCCCCAGUGCAUCGAGUCGCUGGCGGCCAAGGCGUGCGCCGACCCGACGCUCUUCGGCUGGCCCAUGGUCGAGAACUACAUGGCGAGGUGCGUCGAUGCCGCGGCGCCGCCCGUGAUGUGGAACGGGAUCAGCACCUACGGGAAGCCGCGGUCGCCGGGCGCCGGGUGGUGGUACAGGCAGGCGUCGUCGCUCCGGCUGCCCCUGUACAAGCGGCUCAUCUCCGAGAUGCGGUCCAGGGGCAUGAGCCCCGAGGGCAUCGCCGGCUCGCUCGCGCACUACGCCAGGCGGCACCUCUCCGGCCUCAACCGGCGCGACGUUGCCGGCGACGUCGGCGCGUCGGACACCACGUCGUCCGAUGACGUGGUCGGCGAGCAGCGUGUGCUGCUGGAGGAGAUCGUGGCGCUGCUCCCCGCGGAGAAGGGCGUCGCGACGACGAGGUUCCUGCUCGGCAUGCUCCGCACGGCGACGGUCCUGCACGCCAGCGCGGCGUGCCGGGACGCUCUGGAGAGGCGGGCCGGCGAGCAGGUGGAAAAGGCGGCGCUGGAGGACCUCCUGAUCCCCAACACCAGCUACUCCACGGACACGCUCUACGACGUGGACUGCAUGCAGCGCAUGCUGGAGCAGUUCCUGCUGUCCAACACGACGGCGUACGCCGAUCCCUUGCCGGAGAUCACGGCGGACGAGGCCCCGCCCGGAGAGCUCAUGCCGGCCAGCACGGUAGCCAAGCUCGUCGACGGGUACCUCGCCGAGGUCGGCACGGACGCCAACCUCAAGUGCUCCCAGUUCCAGCAAAUCGUGGCGCUUGUCCCUGACUACGCCCGGUCCCUCGACGAUGGCCUCUACCGCGCCAUCGACAUCUUCAUCAAGGCGCACCCGUGGCUGACGGAGUCGGAGCGGGAGCAGCUGUGCCGGCUGAUGAACUGCCAGAAGCUGUCGCUGGAGGCGUGCACGCACGCGGCGCAGAACGAGCGACUGCCGCUGCGGGUGGUGGUGCAGGUGCUCUUCUUCGAGCAGCUGCGGCUGCGCACCACGGUGGCCAGCUGGUUCUUCGUCGGCGACAACAGCGCCGCCGUCGCCGACCAGGGGUCCCCAAGGAGCUCCCGCCCGAGGAAGAGCCGGACCGGCGAGGUGGACUUCGGCAUGGGGUCGGAGAACAACGACCACGAAGAGGUCGAGGUGUACACGCCCGGGAGCAGCAGCGAGCCGGCGUCGGCGAUGAGCGUGCACGAGAUCCGGCAGAGGGUGGUGGGCCUGGAGGGGGAGUGCUCCAGCAUGCGGCAGGAGAUGCACCGGCUAGGGAAGCCCAAGGGAGCGCUCAGUAGGCUGUUCCGGAAGCUCGGGCUCAGUGGCGGCGGCAGGACGUCGUCGUCACGGCAGCAGCAGCCACGAUUGCCAAGCUCCGGCGACGAGAAGCGCAGCAGGUUCUUGGAUUUGGGGUGUUAG
RNAcentral lists this ribosomal RNA (1959 nucleotides) under Triticum aestivum (bread wheat). Its description in RNAcentral is "partial small subunit ribosomal RNA". Lineage: Eukaryota; Viridiplantae; Streptophyta; Magnoliopsida; Poales; Poaceae. The record is from RNAcentral.